GACGAACGCUGGCGGCGUGCUUAACACAUGCAAGUCGAACGGAAAGGCCCUGCUUUUGUGGGGUGCUCGAGUGGCGAACGGGUGGGUAAUACGUGAGUAACCUGCCCUUGACUUUGGGAUAACUUCAGGAAACUGGGGCUAAUACCGGAUAGGAGCUCCUGCUGCAUGGUGGGGGUUGGAAAGUUUCGGCGGUUGGGGAUGGACUCGCGGCUUAUCAGCUUGUUGGUGGGGUAGUGGCUUACCAAGGCUUUGACGGGUAGCCGGCCUGAGAGGGUGACCGGCCACAUUGGGACUGAGAUACGGCCCAGACUCCUACGGGAGGCAGCAGUGGGGAAUAUUGCACAAUGGGCGGAAGCCUGAUGCAGCAACGCCGCGUGCGGGAUGACGGCCUUCGGGUUGUAAACCGCUUUCGCCUGUGACGAAGCGUGAGUGACGGUAAUGGGUAAAGAAGCACCGGCUAACUACGUG
Molecule: ribosomal RNA, 468 nt
Filed under: uncultured bacterium
Lineage: Bacteria
Description: partial 16S ribosomal RNA
Rfam family: Bacterial small subunit ribosomal RNA
Source: RNAcentral